UACGAAGGGGGCUAGCGUUGCUCGGAAUCACUGGGCGUAAAGCGCACGUAGGCGGCUUGUUAAGUCGGAGGUGAAAGCCCGGGGCUCAACUCCGGAAUUGCCUUUAAGACUGCAUCGCUAGAAUUGUGGAGAGGUAAGUGGAAUUCCGAGUGUAGAGGUGAAAUUCGUAGAUAUUCGGAAGAACACCAGUGGCGAAGGCGACUUACUGGACACAUAUUGACGCUGAGGUGCGAAAGCGUGGGGAGCAAACAGG
This 253-nucleotide ribosomal RNA is filed under the name uncultured bacterium. RNAcentral describes it as "partial 16S ribosomal RNA". It matches the Rfam family "Bacterial small subunit ribosomal RNA", at positions 524 to 776 of the family's 1533-position model. The record is from RNAcentral.